UCGCGCUGGGCGAAGCCUGACCGCAAUGCCGCGUGCAGGAAGAAAGCCUUCGGGUUGUAAACUGCUUUUGUACGGAACGAAACGGUCUGCCCUAAUACGGCGGGCUAAUGACGGUACCGUAAGAAUAAGCACCGGCUAACUACGUGCCAGCAGCCGCGGUAAUACGUAGGGUGCGAGCGUUAAUCGGAAUUACUGGGCGUAAAGCGUGCGCAGGCGGUUAUGUAAGACAGUUGUGAAAUCCCCGGGCUCAACCUGGGAAUUGCAUCUGUGACUGCAUAGCUAGAGUACGGUAGAGGGGGAUGGAGUUCCGCGUGUAGCAGUGAAAUGUGUGGAGAUGCGGAGGAACACCGAUGGCGAAGGCAAUCCCCUGGACCUGUACUGACGCUCAUGCACGAAAG
RNAcentral lists this ribosomal RNA (398 nucleotides) under uncultured bacterium. RNAcentral's name for it is "bacterial SSU rRNA". It matches the Rfam family "Bacterial small subunit ribosomal RNA", at positions 362 to 759 of the family's 1533-position model. The record is from RNAcentral.